Molecule: ribosomal RNA, 492 nt
Filed under: uncultured bacterium
Lineage: Bacteria
Description: partial 16S ribosomal RNA
Rfam family: Bacterial small subunit ribosomal RNA
Source: RNAcentral
GAUGAACGCUAGCUACAGGCUUAACACAUGCCAGUCGAGGGGAAACGACAUCGAAAGCUUGCUUUUGAUGGGCGUCGACCGGCGCACGGGUGAGUAACGCGUAUCCAACCUGCCCACCACUUGGGGAUAACCUUGCGAAAGUAAGACUAAUACCCAAUGACGUCUCUAGAAGACAUCUGAAAGAGAUUAAAGAUUUAUCGGUGAUGGAUGGGGAUGCGUCUGAUUAGCUUGUUGGCGGGGUAACGGCCCACCAAGGCGACGAUCAGUAGGGGUUCUGAGAGGAAGGUCCCCCACAUUGGAACUGAGACACGGUCCAAACGCCUACGGGAGGCAGCAGUGAGGAAUAUUGGUCAAUGGACGAGAGUCUGAACCAGCCAAGUAGCGUGCAGGAGGACGGCCCUAUGGGUUGUAAACUGCUUUUAUAAGGGAAUAAAGUGAGUCUCGUGAGACUUUUUGCAUGUACCUUAUGAAUAAGGACCGGCUAAUUCCGUG